Molecule: ribosomal RNA, 403 nt
Filed under: bacterium
Lineage: Bacteria
Also listed under: 1 other name
Description: partial 16S ribosomal RNA
Rfam family: Bacterial small subunit ribosomal RNA
Source: RNAcentral
UGGGGAAUAUUGCACAAUGGAGGGAACUCUGAUGCAGCGACGCCGCGUGAACGAAGAAGGCUUUCGAGUCGUAAAGUUCUUUUAUAUGGGAAGAUAAUGACGGUACCAUAAGAAAAAGCCCCGGCUAACUACGUGCCAGCAGCCGCGGUAAUACGUAGGGGGCUAGCGUUGUCCGGAAUCACUGGGCGUAAAGGGUUCGCAGGCGGAAAUGCAAGUCAGGUGUAAAAGGCAGUAGCUUAACUACUGUAAGCAUUUGAAACUGCAUAUCUUGAGAAGAGUAGAGGUAAGUGGAAUUUUUAGUGUAGCGGUGAAAUGCGUAGAUAUUAAAAAGAAUACCGGUGGCGCAGGCGACUUACUGGGCUCAUUCUGACGCUGAGGAACGAAAGCGUGGGUAGCAAACAGG